RNAcentral lists this ribosomal RNA (763 nucleotides) under uncultured bacterium. Its description in RNAcentral is "bacterial SSU rRNA". It matches the Rfam family "Bacterial small subunit ribosomal RNA", at positions 118 to 883 of the family's 1533-position model. The record is from RNAcentral.
GAUCCAACCUGCCGAUAACUCGGGGAUAGCCUUUCGAAAGAAAGAUUAAUACCCGAUAGUAUAGUAUUUCCGCAUGGUUUCAUUAUUAAAGAAUUUCGGUUAUCGAUGGGGAUGCGUUCCAUUAGAUAGUUGGCGGGGUAACGGCCCACCAAGUCAACGAUGGAUAGGGGUUCUGAGAGGAAGGUCCCCCACAUUGGAACUGAGACACGGUCCAAACUCCUACGGGAGGCAGCAGUGAGGAAUAUUGGUCAAUGGACGAGAGUCUGAACCAGCCAAGUAGCGUGAAGGAUGACUGCCCUAUGGGUUGUAAACUUCUUUUAUACGGGAAUAAAGUGGAGUAUGCAUACUCCUUUGUAUGUACCGUAUGAAUAAGGAUCGGCUAACUCCGUGCCAGCAGCCGCGGUAAUACGGAGGAUCCGAGCGUUAUCCGGAUUUAUUGGGUUUAAAGGGAGCGUAGGCGGGUGCUUAAGUCAGUUGUGAAAGUUUGCGGCUCAACCGUAAAAUUGCAGUUGAUACUGGGCGCCUUGAGUGCAGCAUAGGUAGGCGGAAUUCGUGGUGUAGCGGUGAAAUGCUUAGAUAUCACGAAGAACUCCGAUUGCGAAGGCAGCUUACUGGACUGUAACUGACGCUGAUGCUCGAAAGUGUGGGUAUCAAACAGGAUUAGAUACCCUGGUAGUCCACACAGUAAACGAUGAAUACUCGCUGUUGGCGAUACACAGUCAGCGGCCAAGCGAAAGCAUUAAGUAUUCCACCUGGGGAGUAC